RNAcentral lists this ribosomal RNA (632 nucleotides) under uncultured Lachnospiraceae bacterium. RNAcentral's name for it is "bacterial SSU rRNA". It matches the Rfam family "Bacterial small subunit ribosomal RNA", at positions 84 to 733 of the family's 1533-position model. The record is from RNAcentral. Lineage: Bacteria; Bacillati; Bacillota; Clostridia; Lachnospirales; Lachnospiraceae.
UAUAUGACUGAGUGGCGGACGGGUGAGUAACGCGUGGGGAACCUGCCCUAUACAGGGGGAUAACAGCUGGAAACAGCUGCUAAUACCGCAUAAGCGCACAGAAUCGCAUGAUUCAGUGUGAAAAGCCCUGGCAGUAUAGGAUGGUCCCGCGUCUGAUUAGCUGGUUGGUGAGGUAACGGCUCACCAAGGCGACGAUCAGUAGCCGGCUUGAGAGAGUGAACGGCCACAUUGGGACUGAGACACGGCCCAAACUCCUACGGGAGGCAGCAGUGGGGAAUAUUGCACAAUGGGGGAAACCCUGAUGCAGCGACGCCGCGUGAGUGAAGAAGUAUUUCGGUAUGUAAAGCUCUAUCAGCAGGGAAGAAAACAGACGGUACCUGACUAAGAAGCCCCGGCUAACUACGUGCCAGCAGCCGCGGUAAUACGUAGGGGGCAAGCGUUAUCCGGAAUUACUGGGUGUAAAGGGUGCGUAGGUGGCAUGGUAAGUCAGAAGUGAAAGCCCGGGGCUUAACCCCGGGACUGCUUUUGAAACUGUCAUGCUGGAGUGCAGGAGAGGUAAGCGGAAUUCCUAGUGUAGCGGUGAAAUGCGUAGAUAUUAGGAGGAACACCAGUGGCGAAGGCGGCUUACUGGA